CAAGCAAUGAAGCAAGUGCUAUAAAUUCACCACCAUUGUCAGAAUAUAAUGUCUUGAUACUAAGAUUAAAAUAUUUCUCAACAAUGGCUUUAAAUCUAAUAAACAAUUCUUUAACUUUGGAUUUUUGUUUGAGUGGAUAAAGCCAAAUGUAUUUGGUAAAAUGAUCAACAAAAAUUACAUAAUAUUUAAAUCCAUCAUGAGACAUAACUGGUGAAGUCCAAACAUCAGAAAAUAUUAUUUGAAAAGGAUGAGUAGAGGCAAGAGUUGAAUUAGAAAAAGAAAGUUUGUGACUUUUAUUGCAGUAACAAACAUUACAUGAAAAAUCAGAAGGAAUAGAAGAAGCUAAAUCUAAAUGAUAUUUAGAAACCAUAUUCUUCAAAAUAGGAAGAGCAGGAUGUCCCGAUCUAUGAUGCCAUUCGGAUGAAAUAGUCUUGACACUGGAGAAAGCAAAUAAUGGAGAAUUUAGGGGCCACUCAUACACACCAUCCUUAGUUGGACCCUUCAAAAGUGUUGUUCCCGUGCGAAGUUCCUUCAACAAAAAUGCAGAAGGUAAGAAUUCAAUAGAUACAUUGUUUGAAGCACAAAAUUGAGAGAUUGAUAUCAAGUUUUUUUUCAUGCUAGGUACACACAAAACAUUACCUAAUGAAAAUUGAGAAGUGGGAGUUUUGAGGGAUGUGAAAACAGUACGAGUAAUGGGGAGAGUCGUGCCAUCUGCAAUCAUAAUGUCAUCAGACCCUGUGUAAGGAAAGUGAAGAGAUAAGUUGCUCAAGUCGAAAGUUACAUGGUGGGAAGCACCACUGUCUAGAAGCCAAGCUGGAUUGUUGGAAAUGUUGGCAGCAAAGUGUGCUUUUGGUUGCCAUGGUGAAAAAGAAGUCCCUGCUUUAUUUCUGUUGUUGGUUUGUUGAACUAGGACUAAACGAAAUGAAGGACAUCGUUUAGCACUGUGUCCUUGAAUUCCACAUAUCUGACAAUAACCAAGAUAAGGUCGUAAAGGAGGCCUAGUACCAAGAUUUUUUUCAGUUGUGUUUGGUGUGAAGGGCUGAGCAUCUAAAGUGGGCGACGGGAGCCUGCCUGUGUUGUUGAUACCAUGAUUUGAUGGUGGUUUCCAGCCAUAGGUUUCUGAUGAGCGUGAACUAGUAUUGGUUCGAUUUGUUGGGUUAACAGCGGUAGGAAAAUAAAAUGGGGCAUGUUUAUUAUCAUGAAGGGAUGCUUCAAAGUUAAGAGUUUUUCAUGAAGUUCAUCAAACGAAAUUGGACUGUCUCUAGCUUGGACAACAGGCAUUAACUCUUUGUAAUCAACACCCAAUCUAUCAAGAAUCUUUUCAGCCAGAUCUUUAUCAUCAAUUGGUGCUCCAAGAAUAGCCAGUUCGUCAGCACGAGCUUUUACAUUUUGAAGAAAUUCAGUAACACUCUGGGAUCCCUUAGUCAGAUUUUUUAGAUGGAUUUUUGCUUGUUUGAUACGUCCCCGAGAUGGCUCGGCAUAAGUGUUUGCCAAGGUUGUUCAGGCUUCAUGAGAGGUUUUUGCUCGAGCGAUGAAGGGGAUAAUGGUGGAGGAAAGAGAUCCUGCAAGAGCACUUAGGAUCAAAUGAUCUUGACGAACCCAGAGCAUAUGCUCAGGAUUUGGUAUGAUGGUGUUGUUUUGAGAAAGGAGGCAGGUGGGCAUGGUUUUGUACCAUCAAUAUAACUAGUGAGAUUAUAGCCUACAAAAAGAGUGUGAAACUGAAGCUUCCAUGAGACAUAAUUGUUGUAGGUGAGUUUGAGUGGGGCUUGAGCUAAAAUAUUAAUGGUAAUCAAUGUAUUAUUUGGUUCACUGGUAUUGUGAAUUAAUGGAUUGGUAGUGGAGGUUGUGGUUGGAUUGGUUGUCAACUUGGUAACAGUUUUUGGGGAGAGAAGAGGGGAAAAAACAAAAUGAGGGAGCUGUGAUUAGAAAUGCUCUGAUACCAUGACAGAAUUCUUGAUAUGAA
Molecule: long non-coding RNA, 1963 nt
Filed under: Olea europaea subsp. europaea
Lineage: Eukaryota; Viridiplantae; Streptophyta; Magnoliopsida; Lamiales; Oleaceae
Source: RNAcentral